GGUGACCAGCGGAGGGAUCAUUA
This 23-nucleotide ribosomal RNA is filed under the name Ophiostoma sp. 1 RJ-2012. RNAcentral describes it as "partial 18S ribosomal RNA". The record is from RNAcentral. Lineage: Eukaryota; Fungi; Ascomycota; Sordariomycetes; Ophiostomatales; Ophiostomataceae.